GACUCUAUCAGCAUCCAGAGGGGCUGUGCAGGAGCAGACACACCGUGGGUAUCUCCAUGGGACACUCCUGAGUGUCCUUCCAAGAAAGAGCUGAAGGAGGGACCACAACACCAGUUCCUCCCAACCCCACUGCCUUGUGCUUCUCUGCCCUGUGCCCCUAUUUCUAUUCCUCCCUCCUUGGGCUCAUUUCAUCUUCUCCCUGACCUAAGCCCUAGACCUGGGAUUGAGAGCUGUGGGUACAGACGGGCACAACUGAGCCCCGCUGGUCUUGCUGAAGUCUAAAGAGAAGAGUGACUGAGAGGAGCUGUCGUGUGUGACUGAGAGGAGCUGGCGUUAGUGACAGGAAUUCAUCCCCAAGAGUUUCUCUCGUGCAGUAUCACAGCAUCUGUGGUUAUAUGUUGGAAGGAAGAGAAUAAGACUCAGAGGGGUUGGAGGACAGAGCCACACAGCUAGUGAGCUCCAAUUUAGUCUGCUGGGUGCUUAGCCCAUGCUCAAAGCCACCAUCCAGGCAGGCUCCUAAGUCUUCAUUGGUGGUCGUUUGCAUUGCAAAACCUUGGAGUGAACUACAGCAAAACUCUUUGUUUUUGUAGGGAGUUAAAUUUUCUCGAUGUAUAAUAAGAAUCUCAGCUUUUAAUCAUAUUUUGUCCACUUUGGAAGAAAUAAUCUAAUUUGUUAUUAAACAGACACAUCUCCUGACUUUUGAUUGCAGGGUAUUAACUCAGCUUUCCUUUCUUUUUUUUUUUGAUGAUUUCGGGACAUUUGCGGGAGGGAGCAGUGACAGCCUCACUCCAGCUGUGUUGGUGCCAUCCCUUGGGAAAGCAGGCGGUUUCAGGAACUGGAAUCGUUGCUGGGAACAGGUGUUUAGGCCAAAGAAUUCCAAAGAGGCUGGCAUUGCUGCCUGCCCGGAUAGUGGACGGAAACAGGUGGAUGAAGGCCAGGUCGCCAGCGGGGAUUAAGACUCAUGAGAUCAAAGCCCAGGAAAGAGGCAGCAUUUCUCCCACAGGACUCUACCCGGCCAACCCGCAGCUCGGCUCAGCUCAGCAGCUCGCUAACUGUGAAACUCGGACGGGCAUCCUGUGAUCACUCCAACACUUUAAAUUCAUCAAAGCGCAGAGCGCUGUCUGGCCGCUGCCCAUGGCUCUGUUGUUCUGAGGGGCAAGGCCACAGUGACCUACAGCAGGGAAGAGACAAACACGGAUCUGGUGCAGAGAUUAUUCAGGUUAUGACAGGCAAGCAAGAAAGCAAGAGCGUUUCCUGCAUGGCCACAUCCGAUCCCUUUUAAGCCUGGGCUUCGCUCCCGAAUGAGUUCAGCAGGGGCAGCUGAUCGUUUUUAUUUUACAGGUACGGGACUCCCUCUGGGGUCUAACUGCCACACUCAGACACAGAACGGGCAGCAGAGGCAGGGUUUUCAGAGACAGACCUCCUCAGUCAAAUGCUGGCCACUUACCAGUCGGUAGCCUUGGAAAUGUUAUUUUGCCCCUUUAUGCCUCAGUUUCCUCAGAUGUAAAUGGAGAUAAUAAAUGCACCUAUCUUGAGGAAUAAAUAAAAUCACCCACAGGCCAGCUGUGACGGCUCAUGAUUGUCAUCUCAAUGCUCUGGGAGGCUGAGGAGGGAGGAUCUUUUGAGGUCAAGAGUUCAAGACCAGCCUGGGCAACAUAGCAAGACCCUGCGUCUACAAAAAUUAAACAACUUGCAGGGCUUGGUGGUGUGCACCUGUAGUCCUACCUACUUGGGAGGCUGAGGUGAGAGGACUGCUUGAGCCCAGAAGGUCAAGGCUGCAGUGAGCCAUGAUCGCGUCACUGCACUCUGGCCUAGAAGACAGAACGAGACUAUCUCAAAAAGUACAUAAAUAAAAUAGGUCAGGGGCAGUGGCUUACACCUGUAAUCCCAUCACUUUGGGAGGCCGAGGCGCGUGGAUCACCUGAGGUCAGGAGUUCGAGACCAGCCUGACCAAUAUGCAGAAGCCCCGUCUCUACUAAAAAUACAAAUUUAGCUGGGUACGGUAGUGCAUGUCUGUAGUCCCAGCUACUCAGGAGGCUGAGGCAGGAGAAUCACUUGAACCCAGGAGGCAGAGGUUGUGGUGAGCCAAGAUCACGCCAUUGCACUCCAGCCUGGGCAACAAGAGCAAAAAACUCUGUCUCAAAAAAUAAUAGUAAUAAAUAAAUAAAAAUAAAAUCACCCACAAAACAUGCUGAAAAGACACCUGGCCUGCCGGAAUCACUCGUGGAAGUUAGUCAUUGUUACAGGGGUGGCUACUAAUUUCACCUGUCCCCAGACACUGUGCACCCCACCAAGUGGUGGCUAGCAAUCCACUCAUGCUCUAUUCAAACGGUCAUCGCCAGACCCCCCAACUCCUACCCUAAAGCCCUGGUUUGCAAGGGCUGGGUAUGUUUGCUAGGAUUCUGCAAGAAUUCUGGUUCAAGGUUCAAAGGAACCAUUUAGGAGUCCAAUCGGACACCAUCACAACCCAAGGAUGGCCCUAGCCCCUCUGCGAGGGGUUUAACUCAGCAGCCCCCAAACCUGCAGAGGCGUGCAGGAGGCCCCAUCCCACCUGCGGGGACCCUGGCUGGGCCAGCCGUCCCUUCUUGUCAGUGGAUGGAACAAAGGCCUCUCGCCCUUUCUGUACCUGGGAAUCCAGGGCGGGUGGGGCAGGGAGUGG
Papio anubis (olive baboon) is the source of this 2659-nucleotide long non-coding RNA. The record is from Ensembl. Lineage: Eukaryota; Metazoa; Chordata; Mammalia; Primates; Cercopithecidae.